Long non-coding RNA from Stomoxys calcitrans (stable fly), 281 nucleotides. RefSeq lists it as uncharacterized. The transcript is spliced from 2 exons. The record is from RefSeq and is a predicted model, not a curated record. NCBI's taxonomy places the organism in Eukaryota, Metazoa, Arthropoda, Insecta, Diptera, Muscidae.
CUUGCAAAAGUAGUGUUCAAACGUUCGAGUCAUUCGCACCCAAUCAUGUUGUGGUUAAACAUUGUCGUUGGUAUUCUACUUCUAAGUGCUCCAUUCUCCAUGGGGGAAGAGUGCAAGGCCAGGUGUAAGAUAAAGAAAGCCCUAACCAGAGCAUCAAAGGGUUAAGCGGUUCCAUGGUUAAAGGACGUCAAUAUUAUUGAGCGGAAAUAACAAUGAAAAACAAAUUAUUUUUGUCUGUGCGCUUAAUAAACUUAUCAUAAUCAUUUGAGCAUAACCAAAAA